Molecule: ribosomal RNA, 489 nt
Filed under: uncultured bacterium
Lineage: Bacteria
Description: partial 16S ribosomal RNA
Rfam family: Bacterial small subunit ribosomal RNA
Source: RNAcentral
AUUGAACGCUGGCGGCAUGCCUUACACAUGCAAGUCGAACGGCAGCAUGAUCUAGCUUGCUAGAUUGAUGGCGAGUGGCGAACGGGUGAGUAAUACAUCGGAACGUGCCCUGUAGUGGGGGAUAACUAGUCGAAAGAUUAGCUACUACCGCAUACGACCUGAGGGUGAAAGUGGGGGACCGCAAGGCCUCAUGCUAUAGGAGCGGCCGAUGUCUGAUUCGCUAGUUGGUGAGGUAAAGGCUCACCACGGCGACGAUCAGUAGCGGGUCUGAGAGGACGAUCAGCCACACUGGGACUGAGAAACGGCCCAGACUCCUAGGGAAGGCAGCAGUGGGGAAUUUUGGAAAAUGGGCGAAAGCCUGAUCCAGCAAGGCCGGGGGUGUGAAGAAGGCCUUCGGGUGGUAAAGCACUUUUGUCCGGAAAGAAAUGGCUCUGGUUAAUACCUGGGGUCGAGGACGGUACCGGAAGAAUAAGGACCGGCUAACUACGU